Podarcis raffonei (Aeolian wall lizard) is the source of this 763-nucleotide long non-coding RNA. RefSeq lists it as uncharacterized. The transcript is spliced from 3 exons. NCBI's taxonomy places the organism in Eukaryota, Metazoa, Chordata, Lepidosauria, Squamata, Lacertidae. The record is from RefSeq and is a predicted model, not a curated record.
AAUUUAAUUAGAGUACUUGCUAUAAAUUGGCGUUAAUUUUGUUAAGUAGAAUUAAAGGCAUUUAAAGCCAUAUUCUGAUUCUUAUUUUCAUAAUUCACAAUCUAAAAUGUGCAGUCGUUCAAUAACAGUAUCUGUCAUCUGACAUUUGACUCACCAAAAAGUAAGACAUUUUUGUUAGGUUAAUAUGUAAUCAGGGUUGGGCAGAGGCUGGGAAAAGCUGGUGCUGAUGUAAUGUAUACCAAAGUUUUGCCUUUAAUUAUUUAUUCAGCAGAUCCCAGCAAAGCAGUAAUUGAUACUGAGGAUCCAAUUUUAAUUCUGAGAAUGAAAUGAAAUUCACAACACUUUAAUUUCAGAAUGGACCUUCUACUGCCCAAUCACAGGUACACUAAAAUUCAAGAUUUCACCAUUGUAUCCUAUAGCCAGCUUCAAAAAAACAAAAAAUGGCUUCAAAAUGAACCAGAAAGUCUCUUUGAUAGCCUUUCUCCAGCUGCACGUCAGAGAAGACAAGACGUGGCUCGGUGGCUUCAUGUUCUGACUCUUAGGAACAUGAGAAGCUGCCUUUUCUUGAGUCAGGCCCAUCGCUCCAAUGAGCUCAGUAUGGUCUACACUGACUGGCAGCAGCUCUGCAGGGUUGCAGCAGGAGAUGUCGGGGGCUGAAUGUGGGACCUUCUACAAUGCAAAGCCGAUGCCCUCCCACUGAGCGAUGACCCUUCCUCUAUUUUCUGCAACGAGAGAAGACUCAAUAAAGAUCAGUUUCAUAUAC